This 338-nucleotide long non-coding RNA is filed under the name Brassica napus (rape). RNAcentral describes it as "long non-coding RNA (BNAP_LNC011105)". The record is from RNAcentral. Lineage: Eukaryota; Viridiplantae; Streptophyta; Magnoliopsida; Brassicales; Brassicaceae.
UUUUUAUAAAACGGUAAUGUUACAUUAUCGAGAUAAACCAUCUUUUUUUUAAGUGAAAAAAUGUAAUUUUACAUAUGUUUAAGGGCAAAUCUCCAAAACAGCACAUUUCUAAGUUUAUAUCACAAAAAUAGCACUCAAAAACUAAAAUGACCAAAAUAGCAUCUUUCAAAGUUUAUCUUUUGAAAAUUUUAAUUUUUUUAUUUUUCAAAAUUUGAAAUCUUAUCCCCAAAACCUCAUUUCUCAACUCUAAACCCUAAACCCUAAACCCAAAACUCUAAACCCUAAACCAUAAACCCUAAACUCUAAACCCUAAACCCUAAACUCUAAACCCUAAACCC